Molecule: ribosomal RNA, 310 nt
Filed under: uncultured eukaryote
Lineage: Eukaryota
Description: partial 18S ribosomal RNA
Rfam family: Eukaryotic small subunit ribosomal RNA
Source: RNAcentral
CCCUUAGAUGUUCUGGGCGGCCCGCGCACUACAAUGGCGCUUUCAGUGAGUUCCUAUGUUGAAUUUUCCUUGGUAUUCUUGGAAGCGGCGUCUUGACUUGGGAUAGAUCCUUGUAAUUGUUGGUUUUGAACGAGGAAUUCCUUGUAAUCGCGGUUGAUCAGCUCGCGUUGAAUACGUCCCUGCCCUUUGUACACACCGCCCGUCGCUCCUACCGAUGAAUCGUCCGGUGAAGUUCACAGAGUGGCGGUUCGUGGAGUUGCUCGCGAAGUGAAAUGGACCUCACGAUUUAGAGGAAGGAGAAGUCGUAACA